This is a long non-coding RNA of Papaver somniferum (opium poppy), 743 nucleotides long. RefSeq lists it as uncharacterized. Lineage: Eukaryota; Viridiplantae; Streptophyta; Magnoliopsida; Ranunculales; Papaveraceae. The record is from RefSeq and is a predicted model, not a curated record. The transcript is spliced from 3 exons.
UAUUAACUUUUUGUUCAUUUAGUAGAUGAUGAUGGUAGUGGUGGUGGUGGCGGUGGUUGAGGAGGAUAUCCAUUUUUUUUACUAGUUGAUGGUAGUGGUGGUGGAGGAGAAAAAAAUUAGUGAAGAUGUACCAAUAUUAUUCUUAUCAGUAGUGGUGGUGGAAUGUGUUGUUGUAGCGCUGGUGGUGGAUAUUGCAGCAAUACUACUGGUGAAUGUCGUUCUUAUUCUGGUCGUGGUGGAUGCUUGUUGCACGGCGGUACAUUUUCUGGUGGUGGUGAAUGUAAUUGAAACCCAACUCACAAUAGUUUAUGGAUGCACAAAACAAAGGUGAGAAAAGUUAGUGGUGUUGGAGGUAGUGAAAUGGAGAUAUCAAGAACUUUUGUGUGAUGGAGAUCCUUGUACGUCUCCUCAACCUUCUGGUAUCAAGGAGGGAAGCCAAGACAGAAACAAGUACUAUUGAUGCUUACACAGAAAUCUACAUCUGGGGUAAAGGCUUUAAUGUUGUUCUAAUGUUGUGUGAAUUGUUAUUUCUUAGAACUCAAUAAUGUUUAUGGCUCGAUGCAUGUUGUGAUAAUUGUUCUUAUGGGUAUAGUGAUUUGCUUCCUAGUCUACCCUAGAAAUAACACUAUUGAUAACAUAGCUUAGUUCAAAAUAGAAAAAGAAAAUUGUACUCAUGCUCUGAUGAAUUCGUUGGACUAGGAAAACCAUUGUCUUGUUUAUCAUAAGUUUCUUAUAUUUUUAAA